GACUCCUCCUGGUCCUUGACCACCAUAGCCUCCUGAAGAAUAUGCACGAUACACAUGUAGAUGAAGACAAAACAAGCCUUACUCCUGGACCAAACCCCUGAUACCUGCACCAGCUCCUCCCGGUCCGGCUCCUCCACCAGGCUGAAAUCCAGUCCCGGCUCCUCCGUAUCCUGUUCCAGUUCCACCUGGUCCAAAUCCAGCUCCAGGUCCUGCACCAGCUCCUACACCAGCUCCAGCUCCUCCACCAGCACCAGCAGGUGCUGAGCUGCUGCACACAUGCAGUAAAGAGGACCCACCUCCUUGCAGUGAUGGUUUCCACAGAGCCAGGAGAAGGACUCCGUGUAGGUAACAACAAGGAUAUCAACGUACGCCCCAUCGUGCGGAGAGGGCCGACCAUUCGAUGCCGGAGUAUUCACUUACCACAGGCACUGCACAAGGUCAGGGGGCUGGCAGCGGAGACAGGAAGAGAUGAUGUCAUCACCCGGGGAAUAUCUCUGAAUCCCUCCCCACUUGGAUGUUUAAUUUACAGCACAUUAGCCAAAGUGAUUCCACAUUGUUACAUGUGACCUACUUUAAUGUGUAAUGUGCAUUUGCUAUUGGACAUAUGGCACCGAACAUGACUCUGGUGCCGCUACAUCCAGGGUGACAUAACCUCGCCUUCCACUCAGCCAUGACUUGUUAGUUUUAGCUUGUUUAAUAUUUAUAAUACACACUACAGUGUGUACAUGUUUCUCUCUUUUCAUAGUGUUCGCUAAAUACAUA
Paralichthys olivaceus (Japanese flounder) is the source of this 762-nucleotide non-coding RNA. NCBI's taxonomy places the organism in Eukaryota, Metazoa, Chordata, Actinopteri, Pleuronectiformes, Paralichthyidae. The record is from RefSeq and is a predicted model, not a curated record.